UACGUAGGGGGCGAGCGUUACCCGGAUUUACUGGGCGUAAAGAGCGUGUAGGCGGCUGGCCAAGCGUGAUGUGAAAUCUUCGGGCUUAACCCGAAAACUGCAUUGCGAACUGGUCUGGCUAGAGUGUGUGAGAGGGUAGUGGAAUUCCCGGUGUAGCGGUGAAAUGCGUAGAUAACGGGAGGAACACCAGUGGCGAAGGCGGCUACCUGGCACAUAACUGACGCUGAUACGCGAAAGCGUGGGGAGCGAACCGG
RNAcentral lists this ribosomal RNA (254 nucleotides) under uncultured bacterium. Its description in RNAcentral is "partial 16S ribosomal RNA". It matches the Rfam family "Bacterial small subunit ribosomal RNA", at positions 524 to 776 of the family's 1533-position model. The record is from RNAcentral.